GUUAUACUCCCUUCGUCCGGAAAUACUUAUCAUCAAAAUGAAUAAUAAAAGAGGAUAUAUCUAGAUGUAUUUUAGUUCUAGAUACAUCUCCUUUUGUUCAUUUUGAUGACAAGUAUUUUCGGACGAAGGAAGUACUAA
Triticum aestivum (bread wheat) is the source of this 138-nucleotide non-coding RNA. Lineage: Eukaryota; Viridiplantae; Streptophyta; Magnoliopsida; Poales; Poaceae. The record is from Rfam.